This 82-nucleotide transfer RNA is filed under the name Streptomyces chrestomyceticus JCM 4735. RNAcentral's name for it is "tRNA-Ser". Lineage: Bacteria; Bacillati; Actinomycetota; Actinomycetes; Kitasatosporales; Streptomycetaceae. The record is from RNAcentral.
CCUCCAGACGGGGUGCGGUGGUGGGCCCUGGCGGCUGCUCGCCGCCGGGGCCGCCGGUGUCCGGUCUCACUGCCGGAGGUCC